This 253-nucleotide ribosomal RNA is filed under the name uncultured bacterium. Its description in RNAcentral is "partial 16S ribosomal RNA". It matches the Rfam family "Bacterial small subunit ribosomal RNA", at positions 524 to 776 of the family's 1533-position model. The record is from RNAcentral.
UACGGGGGGGGCAAACGUUGCUCGGAAUCACUGGGCGUAAAGGGCGUGUAGGCGGGUAGAUAAGUCGGGCGUGAAAUCCCUAGGCUCAACCUAGGAACUGCACUCGAAACUGUUUAUCUUGAGUGCCGGAGAGGAAAGCGGAAUUCCUGGUGUAGAGGUGAAAUUCGUAGAUAUCAGGAGGAACACCAGUGGCGAAGGCGGCUUUCUGGACGGUAACUGACGCUGAGACGCGAAAGCGUGGGGAGCAAACAGG